AAAAGCAGAUCACCCACGACCAGCUGAUCAUCCCUUGCUGGCUCUGCGAUAACGUAGUGCACGCAAAAUGUAUUGGGUUCUCAGGCCUCGUGGGUGACGCAAUUUCGAAGCGUAAUGGUCUGCAUUACAGUUGUGAGGCAUGUCGGUCUAUCGAGAAUGACAUGGUCACGUUUAUGAGGCAGACGCGAAAGGGCUUUAAGGAGCUGACCGUGUGCUUUAAAAAGCAGUACGAUCGGCUUCUAGCCAUGGAAUCUCAAUUCAGCAGUUUUAAAGUGCUGAAUGAGUCUCCCAGGCGCAAAAAAGUCACUCCUCGUGAUCUGCAAGUGCCUGUCCCUCGAUCAACUAUCUCCGUCCACUCCGAUAGUGCAGCAGCUAAUUUCGUUCGCCACUCCAAGGGCAACGACAACUGCUGGUGAUCAAGUUUCGGCUACCGAAUCGAUCGUCUCGGAGAACAUGCAGCCAGUUAGUACUGUAGCGUCCGUGUCUGUCGAGUCCGUUCCAAAGCCCAUCCCAUAUAUUUCGAUCCCACCAGUUAAUAAACGUCCCGGACCACCGGAUAUUGCCGUCACAGGUACCAGAUCUGUGGUGCCAAAACCUCUGGUGGGAGUCCCACCAAAGCGGCAAGUUUUUGUCUCUCGGCUUGCCCCUGACCUCACAUCUAAUGAUGUAACUGCUUUUAUACAAAGCAAAAUAAAAGCCGUUGGCUUAAAGGUGGAGAAGUUUAAUUUCUCUUAUGCCAGGGAGAUAUCCUCUUUCAAGAUUAGCGUGUCUCCAACUCAUUUCGAGACCAUUUGCUCUUCCAAAUUUUGGCCAGAGCACCUGGUUGUGAAAGAGUUUAAGGCUAAGAAGAAAAAUAGGCCCCCCAUAACUCUUCCUAGUAGUGAGGCCAGUGGUCCUUCCUCCUCCGCUCCAUUCUCCUCUUCCCACUGCAAUUCCUUGCAGUCAAAAAACUAACAUCCCUCUUUGUAGCCUAUCAAAAUGCUCGCGGCUUACGUAGUAAGCUGAGCACUCUUUUUAUGGAUAGUUUCACAUUUUCAUCCCAUGUUAUUGUGUUUACCGAAACCUGGUUAAAGCCGGACAUUCUUAGUUCCGAAGUUUUGGCAGAUCGGUACACAACUUAUAGAAAUGAUCGUUCGUCUCGACGUGGAGGAGGGGUUCUGAUUGCAGUAAACUCUAACUUUACGUCGGAACUUUUCAUAGUCCAG
This 1205-nucleotide long non-coding RNA is filed under the name Drosophila guanche. Lineage: Eukaryota; Metazoa; Arthropoda; Insecta; Diptera; Drosophilidae. The record is from RNAcentral.